GAUGAACGCUGGCGGCGUGCCUAAUACAUGCAAGUCGAGCGAACAGACGAGGAGCUUGCUCCUCUGACGUUAGCGGCGGACGGGUGAGUAACACGUGGAUAACCUACCUAUAAGACUGGGAUAACUUCGGGAAACCGGAGCUAAUACCGGAUAAUAUAUUGAACCGCAUGGUUCAAUAGUGAAAGACGGUUUUGCUGUCACUUAUAGAUGGAUCCGCGCCGCAUUAGCUAGUUGGUAAGGUAACGGCUUACCAAGGCAACGAUGCGUAGCCGACCUGAGAGGGUGAUCGGCCACACUGGAACUGAGACACGGUCCAGACUCCUACGGGAGGCAGCAGUAUGGAAUCUUCCGCAAAGGUCGAAAGCCUGACGGAGCAACGCCGCGCGAGUGAUGAAGGUCUUCGGAUCGUAAAACUCUGUUAUUAGGGAAGAACAAAUGUGUAAGUAACUAUGCACGUCUUGACGGUACCUAAUCAGAAAGCCACGGCUAACUACGUG
RNAcentral lists this ribosomal RNA (497 nucleotides) under uncultured bacterium. RNAcentral's name for it is "partial 16S ribosomal RNA". It matches the Rfam family "Bacterial small subunit ribosomal RNA", at positions 28 to 507 of the family's 1533-position model. The record is from RNAcentral.